RNAcentral lists this long non-coding RNA (1578 nucleotides) under Mytilus galloprovincialis (Mediterranean mussel). Lineage: Eukaryota; Metazoa; Mollusca; Bivalvia; Mytilida; Mytilidae. The record is from RNAcentral.
AAGCAAUACAUAUACGUAUACAAAUAACAAAUUUCAUAUAACUCCUUCAUGCUACACGGUAAACUUAAAUUUUGUCUCAAUAUGUAUUAUUUUUGGAAUGUUAUUAUAUACAUUAACAUACUGUUAUAUUUAAUGGUAUAACAGAUAUGUACAUUAUUGUGCAUUUUUAAUGUAUAUGUACAUUGAAAAUAACUACAAAUAUUUUUUUCUUUUGUAUGUGACUGCCCUCGAGACAGAUUAAUGUACAUGAUGUAUCGAAAGUUAUAUUUUCUUUAGAAACAAAAUAUGAUACUAUGACUAUUAUUAUAAGGUGUUCAAUAUGAAACUGGUAUCUUUUGAAGAUUGAAUUAAUAUAGAGGAAAAAAGUUUUUGUCAUAGAGAGAUUUCUUAAAAUACUGAUAUAUGAAGAAAAUAGGAGUUUCCUAUUUCAAAAACAGGAAAAACUCAAUUAUUUGAAGGACAAUCAUUAAAUGACAUAAGUUAUUCACUUUCCAUAUCUGUAAGUGUAAAGUCUUUAUUAACAAUUAAGAACAAUGUUAUAUCUACCAGACCAGAAAGGUGUCCUUAUAUUACUUGUUGCAUCUUCUAGCAUAAAUUAAUACAUGUAUAUGGAGAUAAAAAUACAUACACGAGGGUUACUGUACCAUACACCAUCAGAGGUGGAUUUAGAGUGUGUGGGGGUCCCCCCCCCCCUUUUCUGGGGAAAAAUUGAUAAUAUAGGGAAUCACUGAAGCAUGACCGGAGAGCGCCCCCUCUUAGGCAGUCAGUGGGCCCCCACUUAUGCAAAUUUCUGGAUCCGCCACUGACCAUUAAAGUCUUUCAAUUUUCACAAAAAAAAUGAUUAGGUUUUAUAUACUUGGAAUGGGGUAUAUAACUAUCAAACACAUGUUAAUAAUUAUUAUUUAAAUCUUCAGAAAUGUACUGCUAUUGAAACAUUGACUUCCCUCAGAUGGUAAUUUGUCAGCUUUUCUGUGUGCUUCAGAAAUUUAAUAUUGCACAGUGCAAGUGUGAAAUGGAAAAUUGUGAUGGAAUAAAAAUCUAACAAACCAGGAAGGAAUAAAAUAUUACCUAUUCUGAUGGAAAACAUUAAUAUUUAAUACACCAAAUCAUGAUAGAACUUGUAUUCGAGAAAGUUUAAUUUACAAAUCAGAAUGCAUGGAAAUAAAACUAAAAAAAAAAACCAAAUAAUAAAACAUCACUCAAUCAUCUCACUAAUUUUACACAUGCCUAACAAAUAGCCAAUGGAAAUGCAGCAGAAAUAUUUUCUCAUGAUGCUGCAUAAGCUUAUCAAAUUAACAAGGGUUCUCAAACUAUUGUGGAGAGUUACUUUAUGUUUGUGGAGAAAGAAAAUAAAUUGUACAUUGCGAUAGAAGUGUUGGCAAUUUACAAAUGUGCCAAUGAAUCUAUCAGUUACAACAAUAAUAAGGUGCUUCUAACUGGAGUAGAAAGAGGAAUAUUCAAACUAAUGUGACUUUAUAUAAUUAUAUUGUAUGAAUGUCAAAUAAAAAUUUCAUAUAAUUAUAAAUGCAGAUUUAAUCUACCAAAUUAAAGCUAAAGUGAUUCUGCAACAAAUUGAAA